GCCUUGUGGUUGCCUCUGUGCUUUAUACUCAUGAGCAUAAGAGGUAUGAUAGUACUAAGGCAGAAAUCAAGCCUUUGGUUUCAUGCAUGAAAACAGUAAUUUUCAACUGUUUUCAUAGCCCGACCUUAGGGACAUAU
Non-coding RNA from Lingula anatina, 137 nucleotides. Lineage: Eukaryota; Metazoa; Brachiopoda; Lingulata; Lingulida; Lingulidae. The record is from Rfam.